GCAGCUUGAUAAAGGAAGUACAUUUGUGUAAUAAGACCUUAUGUGUACAAAUUAAUAAGAUUGAAUGUAGUAUCGGAAGUUUAUCAUGCUAUGGAACUGAGGCUUAAAGCUUGACGGCCGACUUAGAGAGCAACAGCAACAGUUUUAGCAGCAACUUCUCCAACAGCAGCAACUUCUCCAACAGCAACAACCACCACAGCAGCAACAACAACAACUCUAGCGGCAACCAACCCAGCAGCAACAUCAACCAUUACAGCAACAACGAAAAUGACGUCAUUAUACCAGCGCCGCCAUUUUGGCAUUUUAUAUACAGACCGAUUCAGUGCACAUUUUCCAGAACACUUCUCGUUACUCGUUCAAAAUCAAUAAAAUGCCAUUAAUCUAUAA
Dreissena polymorpha is the source of this 387-nucleotide long non-coding RNA. RefSeq lists it as uncharacterized. The transcript has 2 exons. The record is from RefSeq and is a predicted model, not a curated record. Lineage: Eukaryota; Metazoa; Mollusca; Bivalvia; Myida; Dreissenidae.